ACGGAGAAGGUUAGGUCUACCAGGCGUUGGUUGUCCUGGGGAAAGGCGGUAGGCAUGAUUCUUAGGCAAAUCCGGGAAUCUCUAUGCCGAGCACCGAGACGAGUCCUAUGAGGACGAAGUGACUGACACCACGCUUCCAGGAAAAGCCACUAAGCUUCAGCUGUAGAAAAACCGUACCGCAAACCGACACAGGUAGGCAGGGUGAGAAUCCCAAGGCGCUUGAGAGAACUCGGGUGAAGGAACUAGGCAAAAUGGCACCGUAACUUCGGGAGAAGGUGCGCCUCUUGGUGUGGUCACGUGCGUGACUGAGCAUCGAGGGGUCGCAGUAACCUGGCCGCUGCGACUGUUUAUCAAAAACACAGCACUCUGCAAACACGAAAGUGGACGUAUAGGGUGUGACGCCUGCCCGGUGCUGGAAGGUUAAUUGAUGGGGUCAGCCGCAAGGCGAAGCUCUUGAUCGAAGCCCCAGUAAACGGCGGCCGUAACGAUAACGGUCCUAAGGUAGCGAAAUUCCUUGUCGGGUAAGUUCCGACCUGCACGAAUGGCGUAACGACAGCGGCGCUGUCUCCACCCGAGACUCAGUGAAAUUGAAAUCGCUGUGAAGAUGCAGCGUUCCCGCGGCAAGACGGAAAGACCCCGUGAACCUUUACUAUAGCUUUACACUGAACGUUGAGUUCUUCUGUGUAGGAUAGGUGGGAGGCUAUGAAACCAGGACGCUAGUUCUGGUGGAGCCAUCCUUGAAAUACCACCCUGAAGUGCUUGACGUUCUAACCUAGGUCCGUAAUCCGGAUCGGGGACCGUGUAUGGUGGGUAGUUUGACUGGGGCGGUCUCCUCCCAAAGAGUAACGGAGGAGCACGAAGGUACGCUCAGCGCGGUCGGACAUCGCGCACUGUGUGCAAAGGCAUAAGCGUGCUUGACUGCGAGAUCGGCGGAUCAAGCAGGUACGAAAGUAGGUCUUAGUGAUCCGGUGGUUCUGUAUGGAAGGGCCAUCGCUCAACGGAUAAAAGGUACUCCGGGGAUAACAGGCUGAUACCGCCCAAGAGUUCAUAUCGACGGCGGUGUUUGGCACCUCGAUGUCGGCUCAUCACAUCCUGGGGCUGUAGCCGGUCCCAAGGGUAUGGCUGUUCGCCAUUUAAAGUGGUACGCGAGCUGGGUUCAGAACGUCGUGAGACAGUUCGGUCCCUAUCUGUCGUGGGCGUUGGAGAUUUGAGGGGGGCUGCUCCUAGUACGAGAGGACCGGAGUGGACGUUCCGCUGGUGUUCGGGUUGUCAUGCCCAUGGCAUUGCCCGGUAGCUACGAACGGAAGUGAUAACCGCUGAAAGCAUCUAAGCGGGAAGCACGCCCCAAGAUGAGAUCUCCCGAGAGCUUGACUCUCCUAAAGGCACCAUCAAGACUAGGUGGUUGAUAGGCACGGUGUGGAAGUGCAGCAAUGCAUUGAGCUUACGUGUACUAAUGAGCCGUGAGGCUUGACCAA
This 1475-nucleotide ribosomal RNA is filed under the name metagenome. RNAcentral's name for it is "bacterial LSU rRNA". It matches the Rfam family "Bacterial large subunit ribosomal RNA", at positions 1472 to 2925 of the family's 2925-position model. The record is from RNAcentral.